CGGCCUGGCAGUCUAUGCAGAGUUUCCUGAAACGCUACCCUUAACUUACCUCGGAAUUAAACACUUGCAGCUUGAUAUCAAGCCGAAACCUGCCUUCCUGUGCUAGUCUCAAACUAACAAACCAAAAGUUCCAAGAACUCAGGAGAAACUCGAAAAUUUCUCUUGGUGAUUUUUGUUGGUCAAAUUUUCGAGUUUCUCCAAUCUUCUUGAAACUUUUAGUUUUUUUGAGCCGAGAUUUCAAGUUUCUCCAAUCUUAUUGAAACUCACCACAGGGGUAGCACGUGUCCAGACUAGCAUGGGAAAUCAGGUUUUAGCUUGAUAUCUCUUCAGAAAGCUGAGACAUGGACUUGCCACGUACAAUCUAUCCCAUUGUAAAAAAUACAGACUGUUUGUGGUCAGUGGAAUUCUGAGGGUUUAACACCUCUGGGUGCUUCGGGAGUAAGCGAGGAGCCACCUGAACAGGUUUAUUGGCAGAUUCGUUGACCAUUGUGUUGAAUUUCAAGAAGGUUAGCCAUGUGUUAGAAACUGCUACGGCUUGCAUCAUUUUAUCAGAAAAUAACACUCCAGAUGGAUGUGUUUUAAAGUUCGUCAAGGGGAUAAAAAGGCUACUUGUGGGCACGUAGGGGAUAAGGGGGACACAUAGACAGCUUGCGGUCACAGUUUUUGUAUUACCAGUGGACAGAAGCGCAAUUAGUGGUCACAUAGGCGGUGAGAGGGACUGAUGGGCUGUUUGUGGUGACACAGGUGAUCAUUGGGACAGACAGGGCCGGCGCGCAGGGGUCUAAGGAGGGCCUGCCACGUACCCCCUUUUAGACACCCCUUGAGACCCUGCCUUACGUGAUGGCCUAGGUGGAAUAAGACCCUUACACAAGAGGACAGAGUUCAUUCGGCGUGGCAGUCUACGCAGAGUUUCCUAAAAUCUCGUCUUUGGUGUUUCUCAGAAGAAAGCCACACAGGCUUGGAAUGUCACAGUUGUGGGUUAGGUUUAGGUCAAACAAUGACUGCUCUUUCAUUUCUGCAUCAACUUUACCUUUAGUGACUGUAUUAAUGCCUAUUGGCCGCAAAGCCUUGGAAGCGUUGAGUUCCUCCUGAACAGAAACCCACCUGAACAAUUUUGAAAAAGAGAUCCAGUGUUCCCGCCCAGUUUCGAACUGGGGACCUUUCGCGUGUAAG
This is a long non-coding RNA of Carassius gibelio (silver crucian carp), 1173 nucleotides long. RefSeq lists it as uncharacterized. The transcript has 3 exons. NCBI's taxonomy places the organism in Eukaryota, Metazoa, Chordata, Actinopteri, Cypriniformes, Cyprinidae. The record is from RefSeq and is a predicted model, not a curated record.